GGGUCGUUGUAGACUACGACGUUGAUAGGACACAGGUGUAAGUGCAGUAAUGUAUGUAGCCGAGUGUUACUAAUCGCCCGAGACUUUCAAGCUA
Molecule: ribosomal RNA, 94 nt
Filed under: Parabacteroides sp. PM5-20
Lineage: Bacteria; Pseudomonadati; Bacteroidota; Bacteroidia; Bacteroidales; Tannerellaceae
Description: partial 23S ribosomal RNA
Rfam family: Bacterial large subunit ribosomal RNA
Source: RNAcentral